AUGGAAUAAUAAUAAUAAAUAUACUUAUUAUAUCACGAAACAAGACGAGCUAAAAGUAUAAUUAUAUUAGUGUAUAUUCUGUAUGUUGCAUUAUACAGUUUAUAUAAGCUUUUGGGGGUGAAAUAUCUUCAAGUCUUUGAUAACUUGAUGUAUAGGAAAAAUAUUAAGUAUUUUAUUCAAAUUAAAAAUGCUAAGGUUUUUAAUUAGUAUAAUAAAUAUAAUUUUAUCUUUAAAAUGUUUAAUAGCAAUUAACUUUAAAAGCCUACAAUUAUGUAUUAUAAUAUAUACAUAAUACUAUAUUUUACUUAUUAAUUUAUAUAUAUAUAAUUAAUGUUAUUAUUAGUAUUAUCAUAAUUUUUGUUAAGGAACUCGGCAAACAUAUACUACUCAACUGUUUAUCAAAAACAUUGCUUUAUGUUUACCUAUAAGGUUAACCCUGCUCAAUGAUAUAUUAAAUAGCCGCAGUACCUUGACUGUGCAAAGGUAGCAUAAUCAUUUGGCUUAUAAUUGAAGUCUAGUAUGAAUGGGAAUAUGGGUAGUUACUGUCUUACCAUAAGUUAAUGAAUUUACUAAUUAAGUGAAAAUUCUUAUAAUAAUAUAAUAGACGAGAAGACCCUAGAAAUUUUAUAUAUUUAUGUGAUUACAUAAGCUAUUUUGUUGGGGCGACAAAACAACAAUAAACUUGUUUAUUAAAUAUUUGACGCUAUUGAGUAGAAUAAAUAAAUUACUCUAGGGAUAACAGCAUAAUACAAAAGAGUUUGUGACCUCGAUGUUGGACUAGGAAUAUUAUUGUCUAGAAGAUAAUAAUUAAGGCUCUGUUCGAGCUUAAUUUCCUACAUGAUCUG
RNAcentral lists this ribosomal RNA (845 nucleotides) under Pyrenaearia carascalopsis. Its description in RNAcentral is "partial 16S ribosomal RNA". The record is from RNAcentral. Lineage: Eukaryota; Metazoa; Mollusca; Gastropoda; Stylommatophora; Hygromiidae.